Molecule: small RNA, 297 nt
Filed under: Rasamsonia emersonii CBS 393.64
Lineage: Eukaryota; Fungi; Ascomycota; Eurotiomycetes; Eurotiales; Trichocomaceae
Description: 5' ureB small RNA
Rfam family: 5' ureB small RNA
Source: Rfam by way of RNAcentral
CCUCGUUCACCUGCUGAGGACAAAUGAAGUGGAUGUGGGUGUCCAAACCGCCGGCGGUCACGAUUUUGUUCUCCCCAGCAAUCACGUCGGUGGAAGAUCCGAUCACCAGGUCCGGGUGAACGCCAUCCAUCACAUCCGGAUUGCCCGCCUUGCCAAUUCCAACAAUGUUACCGUUUUUGAUGCCGAUAUCAGCUUUGUAUAUUCCGCUCCAGUCGACCACCAGCGCAUUUGUGAUGACCGUGUCCACACAUUCUGCGGCACUUCGCCCAGAGGCCUGGCCCAUUCCUUCCCGCAAGG